CAUGCAGUCGGACGAGGCCCACCUUUCGGGGUGGUGUUCUAGUGGCGAACGGGUGAGUAACACGUGGGCAACCUGCCCUCAGCUCUGGGAUAACUCCAAGAAAUUGGGGCUAAUACCGGAUAUGACUGCUGACCGCAUGGUCUGGUGGUGGAAAGAUUUAUCGGCUGGGGAUGGGCCCGCGGCCUAUCAGCUUGUUGGUGGGGUAGUGGCCUACCAAGGCGACGACGGGUAGCCGGCCUGAGAGGGUGACCGGCCACACUGGGACUGAGACACGGCCCAGACUCCUACGGGAGGCAGCAGUGGGGAAUAUUGCGCAAUGGGCGGAAGCCUGACGCAGCGACGCCGCGUGGGGGAUGACGGCCUUCGGGUUGUAAACCUCUUUCAGCAGGGACGAAGCGAAAGUGACGGUACCUGCAGAAGAAGCACCGGCCAACUACGUGCCAGCAGCCGCGGUAAUACGUANGGUGCAAGCGUUGUCCGGAAUUAUUGGGCGUAAAGAGCUCGUANCGGUCUGUCGCGUCGGCUGUGAAAUCCCGGAGCUCAACUCCGGGUCUGCAGUCGAUACGGGCAAACUGGAGUACUGCNGGGAGACUGGAAUUCCUGGUGUAGCGGUGAAAUGCGCAGAUAUCAGAGGAA
RNAcentral lists this ribosomal RNA (636 nucleotides) under uncultured bacterium. RNAcentral describes it as "bacterial SSU rRNA". It matches the Rfam family "Bacterial small subunit ribosomal RNA", at positions 54 to 706 of the family's 1533-position model. The record is from RNAcentral.